Molecule: ribosomal RNA, 680 nt
Filed under: uncultured bacterium
Lineage: Bacteria
Description: bacterial SSU rRNA
Rfam family: Bacterial small subunit ribosomal RNA
Source: RNAcentral
ACAGGGGGAUAACCCGGAGAAAUCCGGACUAAUACCCCAUAAUAUGGGCGCUCCGCAUGGAGGGCUCAUUAAAGAGAGCAAUUUUGGUUACAGACGAGCAUGCGCUCCAUUAGCCAGUUGGCGGGGUAACGGCCCACCAAAGCGACGAUGGAUAGGGGUUCUGAGAGGAAGGUCCCCCACAUUGGAACUGAGACACGGUCCAAACUCCUACGGGAGGCAGCAGUGAGGAAUAUUGGUCAAUGGUCGGCAGACUGAACCAGCCAAGUCGCGUGAGGGAAGACGGCCCUACGGGUUGUAAACCUCUUUUGUCGGAGAGUAAAGUACGCUACGUGUAGCGUAUUGCAAGUAUCCGAAGAAAAAGCAUCGGCUAACUCCGUGCCAGCAGCCGCGGUAAUACGGAGGAUGCGAGCGUUAUCCGGAUUUAUUGGGUUUAAAGGGUGCGUAGGCGGCACGCCAAGUCAGCGGUGAAAUUUUCGGGCUCAACCCGGACUGUGCCGUUGAAACUGGCGAGCUAGAGUGCACAAGAGGCAGGCAGAAUGCGUGGUGUAGCGGUGAAAUGCAUAGAUAUCACGCAGAACCCCGAUUGCGAAGGCAGCCUGCUAGGGUGCGACAGACGCUGAGGCACGAAAGCGUGGGUAUCGAACAGGAUUAGAUACCCUGGUAGUCCACGCAGUAAACGA